CAGAGAGUAUGUUAUUCACAUCUAUUACUUCCGUACCUUCGAACAUGCUUAUCUACCUAUUGACUUAUUUUCCAAUUUUGGCAGAAUGUUCAGACAAGAGUUGGAGCAAGGAGGGGUGCCAGACAUUCAAAAAAUGAUGGCUACAGGGUUUGCAUCAUGGUUCAGAUGCUAUAUACUGAAGAUUAAGAAUGGCAAUCUGGUAGAGGAUGAUCUCUUCGCGUUGGCAUGUGGUCCUGAUCACAGAAUCACGAAAUACUCAGCAUGUAUAGUGAAUGGGGUUCGAUUUUGCACGUCUGUAAGGGGUGCGAAUAAGAAGCGAGAGAACGGUGGAAUCAUGAUAGCAAGCACAUAUGGCGAAGAUGAAGACCUGAUUGCUUGCCAUGGAAUCCUGAAAGAGAUUAUCAUGUUACAGUACCAUGGUGACAGGUCUGUGGUUUUGUUUAGAUGUGCCUGGCUUACACCGGAGGAGAAAACUGCUCUCAAAAAUAACAGAUCUUCGAAAAACACACCUGCAAGAAGUCGAUGGACCAAGGAUGAUACUUUAGUUCUAGCUAUGCAUGCUAAAACGGUGUUCCCUUUUUCCGGCACUACCAAUGGUGAGUACUACAAUGGCAAUUGUAGUUAUGGCGAAAUGAAUGUAGAUAGUGAUCAGGAAUAGAUUCCCACCAAGAAAUUAUCAUCGUGUUGUAAUCGCAUAACUUGCAUUCUGGCCAUGUCUCAAACUUAUGAUAGCUGCAUCAAUGUUGAAUGAGUGUAUUAUUUGUUUGUUUAAUUACGCGAAGCUGAAAAUGUUUUAGUAACUGUACUGCAACACUUUGUAAAAAAAGUUGUACUUGCAACUACAUACAUCCACCUCAAUUUCCAAA
Lolium perenne is the source of this 866-nucleotide long non-coding RNA. RefSeq lists it as uncharacterized. NCBI's taxonomy places the organism in Eukaryota, Viridiplantae, Streptophyta, Magnoliopsida, Poales, Poaceae. The record is from RefSeq and is a predicted model, not a curated record.